GGCGGCGUGCCUAACACAUGCAAGUCGAGCGAGAAAGUGGAGCAAUCCAUGAAGUACAGCGGCGCACGGGUGAGUAACACGUGACUAACCUACCCUCGAGUGGGGAAUAACUUCGGGAAACCGAGGCUAAUACCGCAUAACACCCACGGGUCAAAGGAGCAAUCCGCUUGAGGAGGGGGUCGCGGCCGAUUAGUUAGCUGGCGGGGUAACGGCCCACCAAGACGAUGAUCGGUAUCCGGCCUGAGAGGGCGCACGGACACACUGGAACUGAAACACGGUCCAGACUCCUACGGGAGGCAGCAGUGGGGAAUUUUGCGCAGUGGGGGAAACCCUGACGCAGCAACGCCGCGUGGAGGAUGAAGUCCUUCGGGACGUAAACUCCUUUCGAUCGGGACGAUGAUGACGGUACCGAGAGAAGAAGCCCCGGCUAACUUCGUGCCAGCAGCCGCGGUAAUACGAGGGGGGCGAGCGUUGUUCGGAAUUAUUGGGCGUAAAGGGUGCGUA
RNAcentral lists this ribosomal RNA (504 nucleotides) under uncultured bacterium. RNAcentral describes it as "bacterial SSU rRNA". It matches the Rfam family "Bacterial small subunit ribosomal RNA", at positions 38 to 573 of the family's 1533-position model. The record is from RNAcentral.